UGGGGAAUAUUGCACAAUGGGCGCAAGCCUGAUGCAGCCAUGCAGCGUGUAUGAAGAAGGCCUUCGGGUUGUAAAGUACUUUCAGCGGGGAGGAAGGCGAUAAGGCUAAUAACCUUGUCGAUUGACGUUACCCGCAGAAGAAGCACCGGCUAACUCCGUGCCAGCAGCCGCGGUAAUACGGAGGGUGCAAGCGUUAAUCGGAAUUACUGGGCGUAAAGCGCACGCAGGCGGUCUGUCAAGUCGGAUGUGAAAUCCCCGGGCUCAACCUGGGAACUGCAUUCGAAACUGGCAGGCUAGAGUCUUGUAGAGGGGGGUAGAAUUCCAGGUGUAGCGGUGAAAUGCGUAGAGAUCUGGAGGAAUACCGGUGGCGAAGGCGGCCCCCUGGACAAAGACUGACGCUCAGGUGCGAAAGCGUGGGGAGCAAACA
This 427-nucleotide ribosomal RNA is filed under the name uncultured bacterium. RNAcentral describes it as "partial 16S ribosomal RNA". It matches the Rfam family "Bacterial small subunit ribosomal RNA", at positions 355 to 774 of the family's 1533-position model. The record is from RNAcentral.